AUUUAUAUAGUAUAAACAUUAUAAUUGAUUUCCAAUCAAAAGAUCUAAUUAAAUUUAGUAUAAAUA
Molecule: transfer RNA, 66 nt
Filed under: Eurysternus foedus
Lineage: Eukaryota; Metazoa; Arthropoda; Insecta; Coleoptera; Scarabaeidae
Description: tRNA-Gly
Source: RNAcentral